AUACGUAGGUGGCGAGCGUUGUCCGGAAUUACUGGGCGUAAAGGAUGCGUAGGUGGAUACUUAAGUGGGAUGUGAAAUCCCCGGGCUCAACCCGGGAACUGCAUUCCAAACUGGGUAUCUAGAGUGCAGGAGAGGAAAGCGGAAUUCCUAGUGUAGCGGUGAAAUGCGUAGAUAUUAGGAGGAACACCAGUGGCGAAGGCGGCUUCCUGGACUGUAACUGACACUGAGGCAUGAAAGCGUGGGUAGCAAACAGGAUUAGAUACCCUGGUAGUCCACGCCGUAAACGAUGGGUACUAGGUGUAGGAGGUAUCGACCCCUUCUGUGCCGUCGUUAACACAAUAAGUACCCCGCCUGGGGAGUACGGUCGCAAGACUAAAACUCAAAUGAAUUGACGGGG
Molecule: ribosomal RNA, 397 nt
Filed under: uncultured bacterium
Lineage: Bacteria
Description: partial 16S ribosomal RNA
Rfam family: Bacterial small subunit ribosomal RNA
Source: RNAcentral